Molecule: small RNA, 556 nt
Filed under: uncultured Fusobacterium sp.
Lineage: Bacteria; Fusobacteriati; Fusobacteriota; Fusobacteriia; Fusobacteriales; Fusobacteriaceae
Description: bacterial SSU rRNA
Rfam family: Bacterial small subunit ribosomal RNA (bases 1-338)
Source: RNAcentral
GCCCCUUAUACGCUGGGCUACACACGUGCUACAAUGGGUAGUACAGAGAGUCGCAAAGCCGUGAGGUGGAGCUAAUCUCAGAAAACUAUUCUUAGUUCGGAUUGUACUCUGCAACUCGAGUACAUGAAGUUGGAAUCGCUAGUAAUCGCGAAUCAGCAAUGUCGCGGUGAAUACGUUCUCGGGUCUUGUACACACCGCCCGUCACACCACGAGAGUUGGUUGCACCUGAAGUAGCAGGCCUAACCGUAAGGAGGGAUGCUCCGAGGGUGUGAUUAGCGAUUGGGGUGAAGUCGUAACAAGGUAUCCGUACGGGAACGUGCGGAUGGAUCACCUCCUUUCUAAGGAGAAUAAGUCUUUCUCUAUUCUAUUGGUAAUGUUCUUUACAUUACUUCUGAACGUUGGAAACUAUAUAGUAGAACAAACAAGAAAAAAAUUAACUCUAACAAUUUCUUAGAGUUAGCUGUCAAAAAAAAUAGGUUAAAAUAAUUAAGGGCACACAAAGGAUGCCUAGGUAGUAAGAGCCGAUGAAGGACGUGGUAAGCUGCGAUAAGCCUAG